RNAcentral lists this ribosomal RNA (468 nucleotides) under uncultured bacterium. RNAcentral's name for it is "partial 16S ribosomal RNA". It matches the Rfam family "Bacterial small subunit ribosomal RNA", at positions 28 to 507 of the family's 1533-position model. The record is from RNAcentral.
GACGAACGCUGGCGGCGUGCUUAACACAUGCAAGUCGAACGGAAAGGCCCUGCUUUUGUGGGGUGCUCGAGUGGCGAACGGGUGAGUAACACGUGAGUAACCUGCCCUUGACUUUGGGAUAACUUCAGGAAACUGGGGCUAAUACCGGAUAGGAGCUCCUGCUGCAUGGUGGGGGUUGGAAAGUUUCGGCGGUUGGGGAUGGGAUCGCGGCUUAUCAGCUUGUGGGUGGGGUAGUGGCUUACCAAGGCUUUGACGGGUAGCCGGCCUGAGAGGGUGACCGGCCACAGUGGGACUGAGGUACGGCCCAGACUCCUACGGGCGGCAGCAGUGGGGGAUAUUGCACAAUGGGCGGAAGCCUGAUGCAGCAACGCCGCGUGCGGGAUGACGGCUUUCGGGUUGUAAACCGCUUUCUCCUGUGACGAAGCGUGAGUGACGGUAAUGGGUAAAGAAGCACCGGCUAACUACGUG